CCCGUCGCUACUACCGAUUGAAUGGCUUAGUGAGAUCCUCGGAUGGGUCCUGGCGUGCCCCUUCCCGGGGGCGCGCCGGUGUGCCGAGAAGACGAUCGAACUUGAUCAUUUAGAGGAAGUAAAAGUCGUAACAAGGUUUCCGUAGGUGAACCUGCGGAAGGAUCAUUACCGAGA
Molecule: ribosomal RNA, 174 nt
Filed under: Platynereis dumerilii (Dumeril's clam worm)
Lineage: Eukaryota; Metazoa; Annelida; Polychaeta; Phyllodocida; Nereididae
Description: partial 18S ribosomal RNA
Rfam family: Eukaryotic small subunit ribosomal RNA
Source: RNAcentral